Molecule: non-coding RNA, 293 nt
Organism: Mesocricetus auratus (golden hamster)
Lineage: Eukaryota; Metazoa; Chordata; Mammalia; Rodentia; Cricetidae
Source: Rfam
GCCGGGCGUGGUGGCGCAAGCCUGUAGUCCCAGCUAUUCGGGAGGCUGAGACAGGAGGAUCGCUUGAGUCCAGGAGUUCUGGGCUGUAGUGCACUAUGCCGAUCGGGUGUCUGCACUAGUUCAGCAUCAAUAUGGUGACCUUCCGGGACCACCAGGUUGCCUAAGGAGGGGUGAACCGGCCCAGGUCGGAAACGGAGCAGGUCAAAACUUCCGUGCUGAUCAGAAACCAUGAAUCAAGAAAAAACCUAAAAGACUUGCCCACAGGCAAAUCUGGUGGGGGGAAUUUGCUCAAU